RNAcentral lists this microRNA (22 nucleotides) under Limulus polyphemus (Atlantic horseshoe crab). RNAcentral describes it as "Lpo-Mir-219-P20_3p (mature (co-guide))". The record is from RNAcentral. Lineage: Eukaryota; Metazoa; Arthropoda; Merostomata; Xiphosura; Limulidae.
AGAACUGUGUGGGGACAUCAAU